UGGGGAAUUUUGGACAAUGGGCGAAAGCCUGAUCCAGCAAUGCCGCGUGUGUGAAGAAGGCCUUCGGGUUGUAAAGCACUUUUGUCCGGAAAGAAAUCCUCUGGGUUAAUACCUCGGGGGGAUGACGGUACCGGAAGAAUAAGCACCGGCUAACUACGUGCCAGCAGCCGCGGUAAUACGUAGGGUGCAAGCGUUAAUCGGAAUUACUGGGCGUAAAGCGUGCGCAGGCGGUUUGCUAAGACCGAUGUGAAAUCCCCGGGCUCAACCUGGGAACUGCAUUGGUGACUGGCAGGCUAGAGUAUGGCAGAGGGGGGUAGAAUUCCACGUGUAGCAGUGAAAUGCGUAGAGAUGUGGAGGAAUACCGAUGGCGAAGGCAGCCCCCUGGGCCAAUACUGACGCUCAUGCACGAAAGCGUGGGGAGCAAACAGGAUUAGAUACCCUGGUAGUCCACGCCCUAAACGAUGUCAACUAGUUGUUGGGGAUUCAUUUCCUUAGUAACGUAGCUAACGCGUGAAGUUGACCGCCUGGGGAGUACGGUCGCAAGA
RNAcentral lists this ribosomal RNA (545 nucleotides) under uncultured bacterium. Its description in RNAcentral is "partial 16S ribosomal RNA". It matches the Rfam family "Bacterial small subunit ribosomal RNA", at positions 355 to 893 of the family's 1533-position model. The record is from RNAcentral.